AACUAAAAUAAAACCAAAGAAACACAUGAACUUAGAAGCAGAAGUCUCUCUCCGCAGGACUUGAGCUGACAUGAAUCGAUGUCGGCUGAAUUUCCCAUCAUGGGGCCCUCACCACAGUCUGUCAGGAGGCAAGGGGUUUGCCACCAUCCCUGACUAUUCCGUACUCCAAAGAAAUGAGGAAGCCGUCAGCAGCUCAGUGUGUGUGAGGGGGGAGAGGGGACUGUGGGUGAGAUGUGGAAACGAGGUAGAUGGGUGACCUUGUAAGUGCUUACAACUGGUGGCUCACGACAAAGGCCAAAGGCCAGCCCAGAUGGGGUCUCAAAGAGCAACCACACACACACCGAUUCCCGACCUUGGGAACUGUUGUCUACCGGGACGCCCAACUAAGGGUGUUGCAGCACUGAUUUGUCUGGGGUAGCUUGGCCUGAGGUCUGCCAGACGGGUGAUAGGAGGAGACUAUGACCCCUCAUGUGCACGACAAGCUGGCCAGACUGAGAGUGAGGUGGGUCAGGAAGAGACGUCCCAGUUCCCCACAUCAUGUGGUGACCAGAUAAGGAACAGGAAGAAAUCCUUGGUUUGUUUUCGGUGUCAGAGGCAGCUCAGGAAGGUUAGGAGGUGUUAGGCUGGUUGACGCCAACUGAUGUUCCUUCUUUCCUAGUGAUGUGACAAUGUUGCCGACCAAGCAGAACCAGUUGGCAGCCAGAGAGGAGAGGCCACUAGCGCAGACCAUUUGAAACUAUUUAAUCGAAGAAUCAUCAGGUGAGAGAAGCACAUCUCACUAUCGCCAGCCGACAGCUUUUCGUGGAAGAAAAGAGAAACUAGGGCCUCACCUCCGUAUUUGGACCCAUCAGCAGUGACAGCAUUUACAGAGAGGUUGGUGUGGAUGUAGCCGGGGCUGAUGACAGUCACCUCGAUCUCAUACUGUUCCAUCUCAGCACGAAGACAGUCAAAGAAUGCCUGGGUUGCAUGUUUGGAGGC
Molecule: long non-coding RNA, 978 nt
Organism: Felis catus (domestic cat)
Lineage: Eukaryota; Metazoa; Chordata; Mammalia; Carnivora; Felidae
Exons: 2
Source: RefSeq, a predicted model, not a curated record